UCACAUAUUGGCAUUGCUGGGAUUGGU
RNAcentral lists this non-coding RNA (27 nucleotides) under Mus musculus (house mouse). Lineage: Eukaryota; Metazoa; Chordata; Mammalia; Rodentia; Muridae. The record is from RNAcentral.